This 253-nucleotide ribosomal RNA is filed under the name uncultured bacterium. RNAcentral describes it as "partial 16S ribosomal RNA". It matches the Rfam family "Bacterial small subunit ribosomal RNA", at positions 524 to 776 of the family's 1533-position model. The record is from RNAcentral.
UACGUAGGUGACAAGCGUUAUCCGGAUUUAUUGGGCGUAAAGCGCACGCAGGCGGCUGAUUAAGUCUGACGUGAAAUCUCUUGGCUUAACCGGGAGCGGUCGUUGGAAACUAAUCGGCUUGAGGCGAUGAGAGGGGUGUGGAAUUCCCGGUGUAGUGGUGGAAUGCGUAGAUAUCGGGGGGAACAUCAGUGGCGAAAGCGGCACCCUGGCAUUUGCCUGACGCUCAUGUGCGAAAGCGUGGGGAGCGAACGGG